Molecule: regulatory RNA element, 46 nt
Organism: Monodelphis domestica (gray short-tailed opossum)
Lineage: Eukaryota; Metazoa; Chordata; Mammalia; Didelphimorphia; Didelphidae
Rfam family: Histone 3' UTR stem-loop
About the family: The mRNAs of metazoan histone genes lack a poly-A tail.
Source: Rfam
CCAAAGGCCCUUUUCAGGGCCAACCACAGAAUCUUUCAAAGGAGCU